GCCCAACCACAAACUUAAACAAUAUCUCACUAUAUUGUUCGCCAGAGAACUACAAGCGCUAGCUUAAAACCCAAAGGACUUGGCGGUAUCUCACACCCACCUAGAGGAGCCUGUUCUAUAACCGAUAAUCCCCGUUAAACCUCACCACCUCUUGCCAUUACCGUCUAUAUACCGCCGUCGUCAGCUCACCCUAUGAAGGAUAAAAAGUAAGCAAAAUGAAUAAAACUCCAAAACGUCAGGUCGAGGUGUAGCAAAUGAAGUGGAAAGAAAUGGGCUACAUUUUUUUACAAAAACAUAUACGAAUGGUAGACUGAAAAACACCUAAAGGUGGAUUUAGCAGUAAGAAGAGAUCAGAACACUCUUCUGAAAUCGGCCCUGAGAUAAGC
Molecule: ribosomal RNA, 386 nt
Filed under: Sphyrna lewini (scalloped hammerhead)
Lineage: Eukaryota; Metazoa; Chordata; Chondrichthyes; Carcharhiniformes; Carcharhinidae
Description: partial small subunit ribosomal RNA
Rfam family: Bacterial small subunit ribosomal RNA
Source: RNAcentral